GUGAGAACGCAGCGAAAUGCGAUAAGUAGUGUGAAUUGCAGAAUUCAGUGAAUCAUCGAAUCUUUGAACGCACAUUGCGCCCCUUGGUAUUCCAUGGGGCAUGCCUGUUCGAGCGUCAUUUGUACCUUCAAGCUUUGCUUGGUGUUGGGUGUUUGUCCAUUCUCUUGCAGAGGGACUCGCCUUAAAGUAAUUGGCAGCCAGUGUUUUGGUUUUGAAGCGCAGCACAAGUCGCGAUUCAAAGCUAUACGCCCGCUUCCACAAGCCUUUUUCACUUUUGACCUCGGAUCAGGUAGGGAUACCCGCUGAACUUAAGCAUAUCAAUAAGCGGAGGA
RNAcentral lists this unclassified non-coding RNA (332 nucleotides) under soil metagenome. RNAcentral describes it as "partial contains 5.8S ribosomal RNA, internal transcribed spacer 2, and large subunit ribosomal RNA". The stretch from base 4 to 118 matches the Rfam family "5.8S ribosomal RNA", at positions 40 to 154 of the family's 154-position model. The record is from RNAcentral.